RNAcentral lists this ribosomal RNA (477 nucleotides) under uncultured Desulfobulbus sp. RNAcentral describes it as "bacterial SSU rRNA". It matches the Rfam family "Bacterial small subunit ribosomal RNA", at positions 910 to 1382 of the family's 1533-position model. The record is from RNAcentral. Lineage: Bacteria; Pseudomonadati; Thermodesulfobacteriota; Desulfobulbia; Desulfobulbales; Desulfobulbaceae.
UUGACGGGGCCCGCACAAGCGGUGGAGUAUGUGGUCUAAUUCGAUGCAACGCGAAGAACUUUACCUGGUCUUGACAUCCCGGAGACCCUUAGGAAACUAGGGGGUGCUUCCAUCUGGAAGAAUCUGGAGACAGGUGCUGCAUGGCUGUCGUCAGCUCGUGUCGUGAGAUGUUGGGUUAAGUCCCGCAACGAGCGCAACCCUUGCCUUUAGUUGCCAGCAGUUCGGCUGGGCACUCUAAAGGGACUGCCGGUGUUAAACCGGAGGAAGGUGGGGAUGACGUCAAGUCCUCAUGGCCUUUAUGACCAGGGCUACACACGUACUACAAUGGCCGAUACAAAGGGCAGCGACACUGCGAGGUGAAGCCAAUCCCGUAAAAUCGGUCUCAGUCCGGAUUGGAGUCUGCAACUCGACUCCAUGAAGUUGGAAUCGCUAGUAAUCGUGGAUCAGCAUGCCACGGUGAAUACGUUCCCGGGCCUU